This 74-nucleotide transfer RNA is filed under the name Trachydiscus minutus. Its description in RNAcentral is "tRNA-Arg". It matches the Rfam family "tRNA". Rfam says of the family: Transfer RNA (tRNA) molecules are approximately 80 nucleotides in length. The record is from RNAcentral. Lineage: Eukaryota; Eustigmatophyceae; Goniochloridales; Goniochloridaceae.
GCAUUCUUAGCUCAGUUGGAUAGAGCAGCAGCCUUCUAAGCUGACGGUCACAGGUUCGACUCCUGUAGAGUGUA